RNAcentral lists this ribosomal RNA (254 nucleotides) under uncultured bacterium. RNAcentral's name for it is "partial 16S ribosomal RNA". It matches the Rfam family "Bacterial small subunit ribosomal RNA", at positions 524 to 776 of the family's 1533-position model. The record is from RNAcentral.
CACGUAGGGGGCGAGCGUUGUCCGGAUUUAUUGGGCGUAAAGAGCUCGUAGGCGGCUCAGUUAGUCGGGUGUGAAACCCCCGGGCUCAACCCGGGGACGCCACCCGAUACUGCUGUGGCUAGAGUCCGGUAGGGGAGCGUGGAAUUCCUGGUGUAGCGGUGAAAUGCGCAGAUAUCAGGAGGAACACCGGUGGCGAAGGCGGAUCUCUGGGCCUUACCUGACGCUCAGGUGCGAAAGCUAGGGGAGCGAACAGG